GAUGAACGCUGGCGGCGUGCUUAACACAUGCAAGUCGAACGGGAUCCAGGCAGCUUGCUGCCUGGUGAGAGUGGCGAACGGGUGAGUAAUGCGUGACCGACCUGCCCCAUACACCGGAAUAGCUCCUGGAAACGGGUGGUAAUGCCGGAUGCUCCGACUCCUCGCAUGGGGUGUCGGGAAAGAUUUCAUCGGUAUGGGAUGGGGUCGCGUCCUAUCAGGUAGUCGGCGGGGUAACGGCCCACCGAGCCUACGACGGGUAGCCGGCCUGAGAGGGCGACCGGCCACAUUGGGACUGAGAUACGGCCCAGACUCCUACGGGAGGCAGCAGUGGGGAAUAUUGCACAAUGGGCGCAAGCCUGAUGCAGCGACGCCGCGUGCGGGAUGACGGCCUUCGGGUUGUAAACCGCUUUUGAUCGGGAGCAAGCCUUCGGGUGAGUGUACCUUUCGAAUAAGCACCGGC
Molecule: ribosomal RNA, 460 nt
Filed under: uncultured bacterium
Lineage: Bacteria
Description: bacterial SSU rRNA
Rfam family: Bacterial small subunit ribosomal RNA
Source: RNAcentral